GAAGCGGCAACAGCUCAAAUUUGAAAUCUGGCGCAAGCCCGAGUUGUAAUUUGUAGAGGAUGCUUCUGGGUAGCGGCCGGUCUAAGUUCCUUGGAACAGGACGUCAUAGAGGGUGAGAAUCCCGUAUGUGACUGGCUUGCACCCUCCACGUAGCUCCUUCGACGAGUCGAGUUGUUUGGGAAUGCAGCUCUAAAUGGGAGGUAAAUUUCUUCUAAAGCUAAAUACCGGCCAGAGACCGAUAGCGCACAAGUAGAGUGAUCGAAAGAUGAAAAGCACUUUGGAAAGAGAGUUAAAAAGCACGUGAAAUUGUUGAAAGGGAAGCGCCCGCAACCAGACUUUGCGGCAGUGUUCGGCCGGUCUUCUGACCGGUUUACUCGCUGUCGUGAGGCCAUCAUCGUCUGGGACCGCUGGAUAAGACCUUAGGAAUGUGGCUCCCUUCGGGGAGUGUUAUAGCCUCUGGUGAUGCAGCGCGUCUCGGGCGAGGUCCGCGCUUCGGCAAGGAUGAUGGCGUAAUGGUUGUCGGCGGCCCGUCUUGAAACACGGACCAAGGAGUCUAACAUCUAUGCGAGUGUUCGGGUGUCAAACCCCUACGCGUAAUGAAAGUGAACGGAGGUGGGAACUUUUUGUGCACCAUCGACCGAUCCUGAUGUCCUCGGAUGGAUUUGAGUAAGAGCAUAGCUGUUGGGACCCGAAAGAUGGUGAACUAUGCCUGAAUAGGGUGAAGCCAGAGGAAACUCUGGUGGA
This 744-nucleotide ribosomal RNA is filed under the name Pseudocercospora basitruncata. RNAcentral's name for it is "eukaryotic LSU rRNA". It matches the Rfam family "Eukaryotic large subunit ribosomal RNA", at positions 95 to 871 of the family's 3401-position model. RNAcentral also lists the same sequence under 2 other names. Lineage: Eukaryota; Fungi; Ascomycota; Dothideomycetes; Mycosphaerellales; Mycosphaerellaceae. The record is from RNAcentral.